RNAcentral lists this long non-coding RNA (4310 nucleotides) under Brassica napus (rape). Its description in RNAcentral is "long non-coding RNA (BNAP_LNC006205)". The record is from RNAcentral. Lineage: Eukaryota; Viridiplantae; Streptophyta; Magnoliopsida; Brassicales; Brassicaceae.
CGAGGAAAUGGUUUUUCCGGCCGCCGCCGUUGCCGAAGCGUUUGUCGUUGUAGACCUCGAUGUCGAGCUCGUCGUAGUCCAUGUUCUGAGGGUCGUUGACGGCGAAAUCGAGCAUCUCGUUCCAGAUAGGGUUCAGGUCGCGGAACUUGGUGGAGGUUCGUUUCUUCUGGGCGUCGAAAUCGACGACGACGUAGGCGCUUGAGCUUCCUUGGCCGUCUUUCGGGAGGAGGUUGCGGGCUUCGACUACUUCGACGACGAGUUUGCGCUGCAUCCUCGAUGGGGGAGGAUCUGACUGAAACGGCGUCGUGUUCAUCGUGGAAAGAGAGAGAGAGAGGGAUAGCGUUUCGAACCUUUGUCACAGAGACAGACGGUAAUCGCGGAAGAGAGAGAGAGAGAGAGAGAGAGAGAGAGAGAAAGUGUGUUUUUUCGAGGCUAUACUUUAUUUAUUUGAAUAUGUUCUUCUUUCUUUAAAGCCAUUUCUUCUUGUAAUGUUGCUUGUUUUGUAUAAGUAAUUUUAGUUUCUGUUAAUACCAAAUCUUAAAAUUAAGCACUUAGCAUAAAUCGCAUAACUCUGUACGGUCGAAACAACAAAUUUUAUGGAUUUUUUUGCUGUUUGAAAUAGUGCUAACUAAACUUGUGAACUAGUAGUAGUUGAUGUGUUUUACAAAUGUAUAAGGAAAUUACCUCUAGUGUGUUUUUUAUCAUCUAAGUUACUUCCAGUGUUUAAAGACCCAAAUAAUUCAAUGAAUCUCGCCAACUUUUGUAAGUUUGACAAACUGAAAUUUAACCUAAAGAGAGUAUGUAAAAGCAUCAUUAUUAAUAAAAACUAAUGUAAAUAUUUUCUAUAAUAGUAAUAUUUUAAUAUAAUUUAAUUGUGUAAUUCUACUUAAAAUCAUUAAAAUAUUAAAACUAUUUAAGAAAACUAUAAUAUGUUCAAGAGUUUUCACUUUUCAUGUUUUUUUUAGUUUUCAUUUUAAGAAAAUCAUCUCAUUUUAUAUCUAAUAUUUUUGAAUGAUAAAAACUCAUUUCAUGUUAUAGCUAAGAAAACUGGAGUAAGUUAAAAAAAAUAUAUAUAUUUUGAUUUGAAUUGCUUGGUUGAAUUGAUAAGAAUAUUAUAUACAAAUAAACCUAAUUAUGGUGAAAGGCAUAAAGGGCGAAAGAAUAUUUUGCGUUAGAUAAUGGGGAAAUCUGAUUCCAUUCUCUAUCGCCAAGCCUUCGUUUUAUUCUUCCCUUUUUACGUGUUCUCUGAUUUUAUUAUUGUACUCUCUCAUUUUUUUAUUUUAUUUUUUAGUUCAUUCUUCAUUAGUUUUAUUAAAGUCACCAUUACAAUAUUACCUGAAAAGAUUUGGCAACCAAGUCUGUUGGAUGGAAUUUUUGUUGUUUUUAAACACACAAGUUUCUUAAUCUACUAAAAGGCAAAUUAUCUCAAAGAUUAUUAAUGUUUUUCCUUUUUAAGUUCGGUAUGUUUUAUAAAAAUGCCACUUACCAUUUGAGUAUUGGACUCGACUAAGAGCAUCUUCAACCCCACUCUAUUUUUCACUCUAAAAUAGAGUUUAGAGUAAAGAAUGCUCCAAUGGUACUCUAUUUUUCACUCUAUAAUAGAGUAAAAAAUAGGUUUACUCCAAAUAUAGAGUAAUUUGAUUUUUUUUGUUCAUCACUCUAUUUUUUACUCUAAAAUAGAGUACCAUUGGAGUAAACUCAAACUCUAUUAUAGAGUUACUCUAUUUUAGAGUAAAAAAUAGAGUUAGCCAUCGGAGAUGGUCUAACGAAAUCCAUACCAUCAUUUAAGGCCCAAACUUCCGCCCGGUUUUGUUUUAUUUGGUAAAAUCAAGGUCAUUGCUAUAGAUUGUUCUUUUCAUUUUAAGUCAGAAAAAAUGAUCAAUACUUGUGAGUUGUGACUUGAGAGGAUCAAUAAAUGUUAUGGGACUUUCACAUAAUUACUAUGCAGUGGGUUCUUAUUUUAUGAAGGAAAAACCAAGAAAAUCUUGUUUUUAUUGCAUUAUAUGAUAUGAAAUAUUAUGAAUACUACCAUUUAAUGUGAGGAGUGAAGUGGGUAGGGACCAUUAUGAUCCUUGAUUUUGUAUCCCACACACUAUACGAUAAAGAAUUUUGUUCCCUCGUGCUCUCGUCAUUGCCAUAACCUUUGUUUAUUUCCAGACCACCUUUUCUGUGUGUUUGUUGUGAAUAUCCCGGUUUGGUUAUAAUCACAACCAUAAUCGGUUAGUUAAAUGUAUCGACCCGGUUUUCCUGUGGACAAACACAAAAGUUACAAAUUAGUCAAAUAGGGCAUGAAAAGAAAUGAAUGAAUAUUAUACUUUUCCAAACAGUAUAGCACAUCAAGUACUCCGAUCGGUGGUUUCCAUAGCUGCUUAGCCGUGGGACGGAAGUCGCUACACACGUGCGCCGCCUCUUCAAGCACGUGAUACCCACCUUCAAGACACAGUCUUAAGCUUAUCCUUCCACAGUAAGGUCCUCCACCACCACCACCUCCUCCUCCUCCACCUUCUCCUUCCAAAGCAUGCCAUUUAGACGGCACGAAACGCUCAUCGAUUCUCUGCUCAAUGGAGCUCACUGGGAUCAUCGCGUGCCCUAGAACCAUUGGCUCUUUACUCGUCCUAUCUUCAACCAUCAGCAUCAAGCAGUCUUCUAACGGCUCUCCAGCGACAAAGAUCAUAUCUUCAUGCCAAUGAAACGAGCCGCUGUGAUUAUUCAUCGAGCCACGUCUUGUCCUCGCCGACUGAAACCCUAACUGAGCUUUCACACGGACCUCAGGCGCCGUCAACGGCGGAAGAUUCGGAGCAAUGUGGAGAUCCUGCGCCUCGAGAACCGUCACUCUCAAGUACCAAAGCUUCGGCGACUGGUACACCUUGGAGCGAGUGUGCGCCACGUGUGGAGCGUCGGAGCUCCACGCCUCCGGGAAAGCCUCGUCUACCUGAGUGCCGAUCCAUACAGAGAGCUGAAUAUCGCCGGAGACUCUCCCGGAGUUUUGAUCGGCCGCGGAGCCUUCGAGGCGGUACCACUGAGGAGCAAGCGGACUAUCCGGCGGGUCGCGAACCGGAACCUCGGAGAGAUCGAAACACACGCCGCCGAGGAAACUCUCCGAGGAAGCGUCCCACGCGGAGAUUUCAAGAGUCGCGCCGGACGCGGCUGAGUCCGUUCGGUUAUGUCCCAGCGCGAAAACCUGAUUCCACUCGGGUGAAUCCGUCGGUUCGCCAGGCCGGUUAACAGCCGGUUUAGACCUGACGAAAUGGUUAGACGUACGUACUUUAACGUACGCGCUCUCGUUCGGCGGGAGUCCACGCGCCUUCACGAUCCUGACGAAGAGAUACUGCAUUGGCUCAACGAGGUUGUAAGGGUUAUGAGUAGUCUUCUUCUCCAUCGGAGUCUCCGAGGCUCCUCCGAUCUUGCUGUUGAUUACCCUAGGCGAGAAAUCUCCGUUAGGUCGCUUCGCGGCGGCGACUCUGACUCUGUCUCCGCCGGGAGGUCUCCCCACCUGCAUCUUCCUCACCUCCGGCGGAUAACGGUGCACCUCGUGAGGCGGAGACGGCGGACGCGGAGGAUGGUUAUCGUUAGGACCUUGCAUUACCUCCUGCGGCGGAGAUUCCUCGACGAUAACCACCGGCGGUUGCUGAGGCUCUUGAUAGCUAUGACUCUGAGCCGAGUCGAAAGACGGUUUCUCCGGAGGUAGAUUCUGCAUCUGCUGCGGCGGAGGAGGAAUAUACUGUUCAUCAGCUUCUUGCGGUUGCGGUUGCGGCGGUUGUUGUUGUUGGUGGCUGUCGAUGUUUUCGUCGGCGGCUUCGUCGUAGUAAUAAAUCUUGAGGCCAAUCUCGCCGCGAAUCCAGCUGAAGACGCUCUUCUUCUCCAAAGGGAAGUAGACGAGGCCUUCGUCGCCGCGUCUAGAGAACUGGCUUCCGUAGAUCUUGACCCUACCGAGGAAAUGGUUUUUCCGGCCGCCGCCGUUGCCGAAGCGUUUGUCGUUGUAGACCUCGAUGUCGAGCUCGUCGUAGUCCAUGUUCUGAGGGUCGUUGACGGCGAAAUCGAGCAUCUCGUUCCAGAUAGGGUUCAGGUCGCGGAACUUGGUGGAGGUUCGUUUCUUCUGGGCGUCGAAAUCGACGACGACGUAGGCGCUUGAGCUUCCUUGGCCGUCUUUCGGGAGGAGGUUGCGGGCUUCGACUACUUCGACGACGAGUUUGCGCUGCAUCCUCGAUGGGGGAGGAUCUGACUGAAACGGCGUCGUGUUCAUCGUGGAAAGAGAGAGAGAGAGGGAUAGCGUUUCGAACCUUUGUCACAGAGACAGACGGUAAUCGCGG